GUGGGGAAUUUUGGACAAUGGGCGCAAGCCUGAUCCAGCAAUGCCGCGUGCAGGAAGAAGGCCUUCGGGUUGUAAACUGCUUUUGUACGGAACGAAACGGUCCUGGUUAAUACCCGGGGCUAAUGACGGUACCGUAAGAAUAAGCACCGGCUAACUACGUGCCAGCAGCCGCGGUAAUACGUAGGGUGCAAGCGUUAAUCGGAAUUACUGGGCGUAAAGCGUGCGCAGGCGGUGCUGUAAGACAGGCGUGAAAUCCCCGGGCUUAACCUGGGAAUUGCGCUUGUGACUGCAGUGCUGGAGUGCGGCAGAGGGGGAUGGAAUUCCGCGUGUAGCAGUGAAAUGCGUAGAUAUGCGGAGGAACACCGAUGGCGAAGGCAAUCCCCUGGGCCUGCACUGACGCUCAUGCACGAAAGCGUGGGGAGCAAACAGGAUUAGAAACCCGGGUAGUCC
Molecule: ribosomal RNA, 450 nt
Filed under: uncultured bacterium
Lineage: Bacteria
Description: bacterial SSU rRNA
Rfam family: Bacterial small subunit ribosomal RNA
Source: RNAcentral